RNAcentral lists this unclassified non-coding RNA (626 nucleotides) under Hevea brasiliensis (rubber tree). The record is from RNAcentral. Lineage: Eukaryota; Viridiplantae; Streptophyta; Magnoliopsida; Malpighiales; Euphorbiaceae.
ACUGGUCACACAUGUGCGGUACAUGUAAGUGUUUAUGUGGUUUCUUACAUGUUCUUACAUGUUCAAUAAACCUAUCUGUGCAUUUCAAUUUCAAUGCAUUAAGAAGAGGUCUUUCACCCAUUUAUGCAUUUUGAUUUCAAUGCACUAAGAAAAUCUCUUUCAUCUGUCCAUGCACUUCAAUGGACAAAGAGGAAACGAAUGACUUGCAAAAAGCAAAGUAAAUAAUGGUCCAUAUCAAUAUCAGUAAUUACUACCAGAGGUUAAACUCAGAUGGGCAUAAGCGAUAAAUUUUGUUGAUUUGUCAAUUUGUUUCGUAUCAAAUAUAUAUUUUGUCUAGCUAAAUGGGGAAUUGGGGGCAAAUAACUGUCACAUCAGUUUAUAUUGUUUGGAACUGUAUGCAAGUUUGGUAUGAAACCUUUUUCCUGCUAUUGAAAGCUAGCAAUUCAUGUCUAAUGCCAGUGUUAUGAGGUAUGAAAUUAACACCAUAAAAAUUAAAAGUUUCCAUAUCAAAAAUCUAAUAUCUUGGGUCUUGUUCCUGUACUACUUUAAAAUGUUUUUUUAUGGAAAGGUUAUCUUAAUUAUAGUGCCGGCUAAUAUGACAAUCAGAUAUACCGGGAACUAGAGGA